Molecule: ribosomal RNA, 405 nt
Filed under: uncultured bacterium
Lineage: Bacteria
Description: bacterial SSU rRNA
Rfam family: Bacterial small subunit ribosomal RNA
Source: RNAcentral
AACGAACGCUGGCGGCGUGCCUAACACAUGCAAGUCGUGCGAGAAAGUUCCUUCGGGAGCGAGUAAAGCGGCGCACGGGUGAGUAACACGUAGGUAACCUGCCCCCCAGUCUGGAACAACUAGAGGAAACUCUAGCUAAUGCCGGAUGAGACCACGAUCCCUUCGGGGGUUGCGGCCAAAGAUGGCCUCUACUUGUAAGCUAUCGCUGAGGGAUGGGCCUGCGGGCCAUUAGCUUGUUGGUGAGGUAACGGCUCACCAAGGCUGUGAUGGCUAGCUGGUCUGAGAGGAUGACCAGCCACACUGGGACUGAGACACGGCCCAGACUCCUACGGGAGGCAGCAGUGGGGAAUAUUGCGCAAUGGGCGAAAGGCCUGACGCAGCGACGCCGCGUGGGUGAUGAAGGCC